GACGAACGCUGGCGGCGUGCUUAACACAUGCAAGUGGAGCGACGAACCCUUCGGGGGGCAAAGCCGCGAACGGGUGAGUAACACGUGGGUAACCUGCCCCGAUGACUGGGACAACCCGGGGAAACCCGGGCUAAUACCGGAUGAUGUGCACACACUUAGGUGUGUUCACUAAAGGUAGCUUCGGCUUCCGCAUUGGGAGGGGCCCGCGGCCCAUUAGCUUGUUGGUGAGGUAACGGCUCACCAAGGCAACGAUGGGUAGCUGGUCUGAGAGGACGAUCAGCCACACUGGGACUGAGACACGGCCCAGACUCCUACGGGAGGCAGCAGUGGGGAAUCUUGCGCAAUGCGCGAAAGCGUGACGCAGCAACGCCGCGUGAGGGAAGACGGCCUUCGGGUUGUAAACCUCUUUCAGUAGGGACGAAGGCCGGCCGGUGAAUAGCCGUGUCGGUUGACGGUACCUUCAGAAGAAGCUCCGGCUAACUACGUGCCAGCAGCCGCCGUAA
This 503-nucleotide ribosomal RNA is filed under the name uncultured bacterium. RNAcentral describes it as "partial 16S ribosomal RNA". It matches the Rfam family "Bacterial small subunit ribosomal RNA", at positions 28 to 523 of the family's 1533-position model. The record is from RNAcentral.